Long non-coding RNA from Chenopodium quinoa (quinoa), 582 nucleotides. RefSeq lists it as uncharacterized. The record is from RefSeq and is a predicted model, not a curated record. NCBI's taxonomy places the organism in Eukaryota, Viridiplantae, Streptophyta, Magnoliopsida, Caryophyllales, Amaranthaceae. The transcript is spliced from 3 exons.
UACACUUCCUUCAAUUCUGACCAUAUUUGUUCUUGUGCCCCUGAAAUGCUCCCAAUUUUUUUCUUUUCUUCAUUGAAGGGAGACAUUUUUUGUGGAAGACAAUUUAUUUAGAACUUAAAUACUUCUGAACUAAAGCAAAAAGAUGCAUCUACUACAGAGGCUCUAUCAAAGCUACCAAUUCAUGUUAGGGAACUAUGAUCAAAGAAUGUUCAAAUUUUAAAGGCAUGGUACAGUUAAUAAAAUUGCUGAAAUAGGCAUGUGUCAGUACUUUGACAAAGUUCCUCAGCUCCUACAUAUUCUCAAUUAAUGAUUGACGAGUUUAGGGGGAGGUGGAUCUCAUAUAUAUAUGACCGGAUGCCAGCACCAAAUGAUGAAGACGAUGGCCAUCUGUGUGAACUGUAGCUCAAUGAUAUCAAUACCUAAUUUUGUAUUUCUUUUAAUCAACAUUAGAGAGGUGUUUUGAUUUUAUUUCUCGUAUAUGUAUAGAACGUAUUUUGAACGGAUGAAUAGAUUGUUUGAAUUGUACAUAUAUAUGACAGUAGAAAGGUUUUUUAUGCAGGAAAUGGAUGCAGAUUUUUUUUA